AUGAAUUGACAGUUGGCCCUAAGUGGGAAGCUGAUUAUCAAAGCUCAACUUGAGGAAGAUAUCCGACGAUUCCCAUUCAUAAUGAAGACAUUACUUAGGAUGAAUUAGUGCUAAUGAUGCAGCGAAUAUUCAGAGGGAAACUUCUGAGUAGUGAUGAAGUUACAAUAAAGUAUAAUGAUGAAGAUGGAGAUCUUAUAACAAUUUUUGAUAGUUCUGACCUUUCCUUUGCAAUUCAGUGUAGUAGAAUACUGAAACUGACAUUAUUUGUUAAUGGCCAGCCAAGACCCCUUGAAUCAAGUCAGGUGAAAUAUCUUCGUCGAGAACUGAUAGACCUUUGAAAUAAAGUGAAUCGCUUAUUGGACAGCUUAGAAACACCUGGAGAACCAGGACCUUCCACCAGUAUUCCUGAAAAUGAUACCAUGGAUAGUAGGGAAGAAAAGCCUGCUGCUUCUGAUGCUCAGUCAACUCACAUUAUGGCAGCAAGUAUGGCAGUUUUUGAUUCUCUGAAAAAAAAAAAAAAAAAAAAGAUGAAAUCAACAAAAACGUCAUGCUAGCGUUUGGAUUAACAGAUGACCAGGUUUCAGGACCACCCAGUGCUGCUCCUACAAAAGACUGUUCCAGAACGCCUGACAGCAUUGCUUCUUCCUCCUCAGCAGCACACGCAGCAGCAGUUCAACCACAGCAACCUCCCUAUACAGGAGCUCAGCCCCAAGCAGGUCAGACUGGAGGUCAGAUGUACCAGCAGUACCAGCAGCAGGCUGGCUAUAGUGCACAGCAGCCUCAGGCCCCUCCUCAGCAGUAUGGCGUUCAGUACUCAGCUAGUUACAGCCAGCAGACUGGACCCCAACAACCUCAGCGGUACAGCCAACAGCCAACUUCCCAGGCACCAGCUCCUGCCUUUUCUGGCCAGCCACAACAACUGCCUGCUCAAUCACCACAGCAGUACCAGGCAAGCACCUACCCUCCACAAACUUAUACUACCCAAAUAUCUCAACCUCCUAACUAUACUGUUCCCCCUGGCUCUCAGCCUGGAAUGGCUCCAAGCCAACCUGGUGCUUACCAACCAAGACCAGGUUUUACCCCAUCUCCUGCAAGUACCACGACCCCUUCUGCCAGUGGGGCUAGCCCUUAUGCUCAUAACUGUCCUCCUUUUGGUCCAACCUGGACCUGGUUAUCGAUAAGGAGGUUCAGUCACACUAAUAAUGAUGGCUGAUUGCC
Mus pahari (shrew mouse) is the source of this 1218-nucleotide RNA transcript. It is a transcript of the gene named protein TFG pseudogene, with no coding region annotated. NCBI's taxonomy places the organism in Eukaryota, Metazoa, Chordata, Mammalia, Rodentia, Muridae. The record is from RefSeq and is a predicted model, not a curated record. The transcript has a single exon.